UGGGGAAUAUUGCGCAAUGGGGGAAACCCUGACGCAGCAACGCCGCGUGAGUGAGGAAGGUUUUCGGAUUGUAAAGCUCUGUCGAGCGGAAAGAAAUGCAUUAUGGCUAAUAUCCAUGAUGCUUGACGGUACCGCUAAAGGCAGCACCGGCUAACUCCGCGCCAGCAGCCGCGGUAAUACGGGGGGUGCAAGCGUGAUUCGGAAUCAUUGGGCGUAAAGCGCGUGUAGGCGGCUUGACAAGUCAGAUGUGAAAUCCCUGGGCUUAACCCAGGAAGUGCAUUUGAAACUGUCUAGCUUGAGUAAGGGAGAGGAAAGUGGAAUUCCUGGUGUAGAGGUGAAAUUCGUAGAUAUCAGGAGGAACACCGGUGGCGAAGGCGACUUUCUGGCCCUAUACUGACGCUGAGACGCGAAAGCGUGGGUAGCAAACA
RNAcentral lists this ribosomal RNA (428 nucleotides) under uncultured prokaryote. RNAcentral describes it as "bacterial SSU rRNA". It matches the Rfam family "Bacterial small subunit ribosomal RNA", at positions 355 to 774 of the family's 1533-position model. The record is from RNAcentral.